UCUCCGUUGGUGAACCAGCGGAGGGAUCAUUACUGGAAUCGCAAGAUCCCACAGCCCUGUGAACCUACCGAAACGUUGCCUCGGCGGGGGCCCGGCCUCUGCGCCGGGCGCUGCGCCCGCCGGCGGCCCCCUACUCUGUCUCUGCAGCGUGGCAUCUCAGAGUCCCAGAAAACAAGUCAAAACUUUCAACAACGGAUCUCUUGGCUCUG
RNAcentral lists this unclassified non-coding RNA (209 nucleotides) under plant metagenome. RNAcentral describes it as "partial contains small subunit ribosomal RNA, internal transcribed spacer 1, and 5.8S ribosomal RNA". The record is from RNAcentral.